UUCGUCCGCAGGCCGACACUCUAUCCACUGAGCCACGCUGUGCAGGGCUUGGGCGCUCUUCGAUUCCCGGUUGUAAUCCCGCGGCUCAUCCUUCAGUGGCAGACGCCCCGUCCGCAGGAGGCAGCCUGGGGGGGCAGCGAUCGCUUCUCCCUCAGAAUCGACUGGAGCCCAGAACCUCACCCCCCAAGACCGUGCGACGUGCCCGGCAGAGUGCGAGGGGCGGAGAAGUACCCCGAGGAGCACCCAAUGCCCAGCACCCUGCACCCAGCGCCCAGUGCCCAGCGCUCAGCGGGAGGAACACGCCGGGGCCGUCACAGCCGAUGCUUCCGUAGACGGCGCCCAUGUCUCAUUCCCUUCUCUACCCGAGGAUUUGCUGCCCGGAUUUAGCAUUUAAACAACAACAACAACAAAGGGACGGAGGGACGCGGGGUGGCCGACAGCCUGC
Myotis brandtii (Brandt's bat) is the source of this 445-nucleotide long non-coding RNA. RefSeq lists it as uncharacterized. The transcript has 3 exons. NCBI's taxonomy places the organism in Eukaryota, Metazoa, Chordata, Mammalia, Chiroptera, Vespertilionidae. The record is from RefSeq and is a predicted model, not a curated record.